RNAcentral lists this transfer RNA (72 nucleotides) under Caenorhabditis brenneri. Its description in RNAcentral is "tRNA CBN27567". The record is from RNAcentral. Lineage: Eukaryota; Metazoa; Nematoda; Chromadorea; Rhabditida; Rhabditidae.
UCUUCGGUAGUAUAGUGGUGAGUAUCCGCGUCUGUCAAAUGCGAUACCCGGGUUCAGUUCUCGAGCGGGGAG